Molecule: ribosomal RNA, 497 nt
Filed under: uncultured bacterium
Lineage: Bacteria
Description: partial 16S ribosomal RNA
Rfam family: Bacterial small subunit ribosomal RNA
Source: RNAcentral
GAUGAACGCUGGCGGCGUGCCUAACACAUGCAAGUCGAGCGAACAGACGAGGAGCUUGCUCCUCUGACGUUAGCGGCGGACGGGUGAGUAACACGUGGAUAACCUACCUAUUAGACUGGGAUAAUUUCGGGAAACCGGAGCCAAUACUAGGUAAUAUAUUGAACCGCAUGGUUCAAUAGUUAAUGUAGGUUUUGCUGUCACUUAUAGAUGGAUCCGCGCCGCAUUAGCUAGUUGGUAAGGUAACGGCGUACCAAGGCUACGAUGCGUAGCCGACCUGAGAGGAUGAUCAGCCACACUGGAACUGAGACACGGUACAGACUCCUACGGGAGGCAGCAGUAGGGAAUCUUGCGCAAUGGGCGAAAGCCUGACGGAGCAACACCGCGUGAGUGAUGAAGGUCUUCGGAUCGUAAAACUCUGUUAUUAGGAAAGAAAAGAUGUGUAAGUAACUAUGCACGUCUUGACGGUACCUAAUGAAAAAGCCACGGCUAACUACGUG